Non-coding RNA from Manis javanica (Malayan pangolin), 775 nucleotides. The record is from RefSeq and is a predicted model, not a curated record. NCBI's taxonomy places the organism in Eukaryota, Metazoa, Chordata, Mammalia, Pholidota, Manidae.
CUCUAUCUGCCUGUCUCCUGACACUUUGAUGAGUGUGCCCACAUGGAAAAGAAACGGGCUCUGCCCUUAGCGAGGGCCACACAUUCCCACUCCGGAAUUUCCAGCAAGAUGUGAACACGGCCAAGGACGGCCUCGCUGCUUGCUCCACCUCCCUUCCGGGCGCUCCGCGGUCCCUUAGCUGGCGGCCAACCAGCUCGCAGACUCAGGCUAACCCACUGCCCCCGCUGGGACGUCGGCCAGAUUGAAUACCAGGAAAUAGAGAUUUCGGCAUCAAGGUGAAAAUGUCCCAACUAAGCAGGAGAUCAUGUACUCUCCAGACAGAGCCUAAGGUGAGGAGGAUUCUCGUUCAGAUGAUGUGCUGAAGGAGUGCUCUCAGGAGAAAAGAAGUGAAAAGGAAGGAGAAAGAGUAUGGUCUCCAAGCUGGAGGUUCAUAGCAGCUGUGAUUGGCUAAUCACAACACCCAAUAGGUGGAAACAGCCCAAAUGUCCAUCAGCAAAUGAAUGGAUAAAAUGUAGCCCAUGCAUGCAGUGGACCUACUCGGCCAGAAAAAAGGAAGGAGAUUCUGACACAUGCUAUAGCAUGAAUGAUCUUGAAAACAUCAUGCUCGGAGAAAUAAGGUGGAUGCAAAAGAACAAAUAUCACACGACUCCACUUGCAUGGCGUACCUGCAAGAGCCAGACUCACAGAGACGAAGUGGAUCAGAGGUCGCUGGGGCCGCGGGGGGUGGGGCUGGGGAGCUGUCUACGGGGGCAGAGUUUCAAGCUGGCAUGAUGAA